Molecule: ribosomal RNA, 253 nt
Filed under: uncultured bacterium
Lineage: Bacteria
Description: partial 16S ribosomal RNA
Rfam family: Bacterial small subunit ribosomal RNA
Source: RNAcentral
CACGGGGGGAGCGAACGUUGUUCGGAAUCACUGGGCGUAAAGGGCGUGUAGGCGGUUCGGUAAGUGGAAUGUGAAAUCCCCCGGCUUACCCGGGGAACUGCAUCCCAUACUGCUGGACUUGAGUGCGGGAGAGGAUGGAGGAAUUCCUGGUGUAGCGGUGAAAUGCGUAGAUAUCAGGAGGAACACCGGUGGCGAAGGCGACAUCCUGGACCACGACUGACGCUGAGGAGCGAAAGCCAGGGGAGCAAACGGG